This 2284-nucleotide long non-coding RNA is filed under the name Equus caballus (horse). RNAcentral describes it as "lncRNA (ENSECAG00000050094.1)". Lineage: Eukaryota; Metazoa; Chordata; Mammalia; Perissodactyla; Equidae. The record is from RNAcentral.
CACGGCAAAGGAACCCUCCACAAAACCAAAACACAACCCAACAGCUGGCAGAAGAGACUUGCAAACCAUACAUCGGAUAAGGGGUUUCUAGCCCAAAUACAGAAAGAACUCACACAGCUCAACAACAACAAAAAUCAACAACCCAAUUAAAAAGACGGGCAAAAGAUCUGAGCAGUGAUCUCUCCAAAGAAGACAUGCGGAUGGCCAACAGGCAAAUGGAAAGGUGCUCAACAUCAUUAGCCAUCAGAGAAAGGCAGAUCAAAACUACAAGGAGAGGUCACCUUCCUCUGCUCAGAACGGCUCUAAUUAACGACACAAGAGACAAGUGGGGAGGGGGGAGGGGAGAGAGCCAAAGGGGUGAUGAGGCUCACAUGUGAGGUGACGGACUAUCAUUAGUUUUCGGGUGGUGAACACGAUGUAAUCCACACAGAAUUCGAAAUACAUUACAACGUACCUCUGAAAGCUACAUAAUGUUAGAAUCCGCUGUUACUGCAAUAAAAUAAAAUAAAAUAAAAUAAAAUAAAAUAAAAUAAAAUAGAGAAGUGUUGGAGCCUCAAGAGGCUAACAGGCUUUUGAAAAGUUAUUCUAGGGAUUUGUAUGGCUUAGCUCAGGGCGGCACACACCAGCCUGAGACACAGCUGUGACAUAGCCCCUAACUUCAACUAAACUCUAUUCCGCCUGGAGGGAAAUCAAAACUACUGUAAUCAUAAUUGAUUGAAGGCUUCACUUUGUGCCAGAUCCUGUGCCGACUGCUUUGCACCAACUGUCUCAUUUAAUCCUCACAUCCAAAAGGCAGGUUACCGUUAUUCUCCCCAUUUUCAAGGUGAGGAGGCGGAAGCAGAAAGAUGGCCAUCUGCCUGGAAUUCACACAAGGCUUCUCUAGGUAAUGACAUGACUUUUGGACAGGAUUUAAAGGUUUAACACAUUCCAGUGAAGACGCAGAUCCCAGUAUCACAGAACGUGAAAAACACUGAGUCCUGCCACAUGUAUUAAAACACUAACUAUGGAUCCUCACAAUCUCUUGGCCUGUUUUUCAGAGGAGGGAAAACCCAGGGUGAAAACCCGUUGAGGAGAUGUCUGCAGAUGAGGACUAGGUCUGGUCUUUAAAGCCGGGAACUAUCCCAGUAGAUUCUGAGUCAGUGGGUCCAGAGUAGGCGUCGAGCGUCUCCGUUCUUUGAAAAAGCCCCACAGGCUACACUUCCGUGCCCUUGGAGUUGGGAAGUACAGUCAGGCCCUACAUCGGGACGUUUCAGUCAACAACGGGGGUCCCAUAAGAUUAGUCCCAUAGAGCCUAGGUGUGUAGGAGGCUCUGCCGUGUAGGUUUAUGAACUCCGUGGUGCUUGCACGAUCACGCGAUUGCCUGACCGUGACGCACUCCUCACAGCUUAGCCCCACUGUUAAGCAAAGCAUGACUGCACUGCCUUAGAUUCUCCACGGUUCCAGACCCUGCGCUGUUUAGAUGACUGCACACGCAGAGGGCACCGUGUCUGAGGCAGAGAGCGGCUGGAAUCACAACAGCUCUCGACGGAGAGUCAAGGAAAGGCGUGCUCUGCUUACACGACUCUCUACUUUUCUCUGUGUCUGAACUAUUUUACAGCUAAUCUACUUUUUUUAACCAAGCAGCUGUGCCAAAAGAAUGUUACCAAGCAAUACUAAACAAACCAAUAUCAACCAUACAUAUUAAAUAAGCCUAACCCUACUAGGCUACGGAAAAGGCUUUUAUUUCCCUGGAUAAUUUGGACAGCAUUAGAUUCUUUUACCAAGAGCAGCCAAGUCGAGGGAGAUUAUUUCUAAGUCCACAGUGUUGCAGAUGCGGUCAGUAGCAACCGCAAGCUGGAAAGGAAACAAAGUUGGGUGUAAUCCAUUCCAGUUCACACGUUUCACCAGGGACAGCCUCCAAGCCUUGAAUACUUAUGUACGCAUUUAUCCAUUUCUUUAACCAACCACUACUAACGCCUACCAAAGGCCAGACACUGCUCGAAGUACUUUACGGAUGUGAAAUAUCCUCUAACCUUUACGCUCGCCUACGGAGUGUGUAUGAUAAUCAUCCCCGUUCUACAGAUCAGGAAACUGACACGCAGAAUGGUACAGUAACUUGCCCAAGUUCACACAGCCCGUAGGCGGCAGAGCCAGGACCCAUUUGACAGAGUCUGGCCCCAGAGUCCACGUGCUGAAUCACCACGCUUAGUCUCCAAAAAACCUGUAGAAAGCGCCAGGCUUAAUCGAAAAGUUUGGUUUUCCCCACCCCAGCCUACAGUCCCUACGCGGCCCCAGUCUCCAGGGC